RNAcentral lists this ribosomal RNA (484 nucleotides) under uncultured bacterium. RNAcentral describes it as "partial 16S ribosomal RNA". It matches the Rfam family "Bacterial small subunit ribosomal RNA", at positions 30 to 507 of the family's 1533-position model. The record is from RNAcentral.
AUUGAACGCUGGCGGCAGGCCUAACACAUGCAAGUCGAGCGGAUGAAGGGAGCUUGCUCCUGGAUUCAGCGGCGGACGGGUGAGUAAUGCCUAGGAAUCUGCCUGGUAGUGGGGGAUAACGUCCGGAAACGGGCGCUAAUACCGCAUACGUCCUGAGGGAGAAAGUGGGGGAUCUUCGGACCUCACGCUAUCGUAUGAGCCUAGGUCGGAUUAGCUAGUUGGUGGGGUAAAGGCCUACCAAGGCGACGAUCCGUAACUGGUCUGAGAGGAUGAUCAGUCACACUGGAACUGAGACACGGUCCAGACUCCUACGGGAGGCAGCAGUGGGGAAUAUUGGACAAUGGGCGAAAGCCUGAUCCAGCCAUGCCGCGUGUGUGAAGAAGGUCUUCGGAUUGUAAAGCACUUUAAGUUGGGAGGAAGGGCAGUAAGUUAAUACCUUGCUGUUUUGACGUUACCAACAGAAUAAGCACCGGCUAACUUCGUG